Molecule: ribosomal RNA, 433 nt
Filed under: uncultured bacterium
Lineage: Bacteria
Description: partial 16S ribosomal RNA
Rfam family: Bacterial small subunit ribosomal RNA
Source: RNAcentral
AACGAACGCUGGCGGCAUGCCUAACACAUGCAAGUCGAACGAGACCUUCGGGUCUAGUGGCGCACGGGUGCGUAACGCGUGGGAACCUGCCCUUAGGUUCGGAAUAACUCCCCGAAAGGGGUGCUAAUACCGGAUAAUGUCUUCGGACCAAAGAUUUAUCGCCUUUGGAUGGGCCCGCGUUGGAUUAGCUAGUUGGUAGGGUAAAAGCCUACCAAGGCGACGAUCCAUAGCUGGUCUGAGAGGAUGAUCAGCCACACUGGGACUGAGACACGGCCCAGACUCCCUCGGGAGGGAGCAGUUGGGGAUAAUUGACAAAGGGCGGAAAGCCGAACCAACCAAGCCGGGGGAGGGAAGAAGGGCCUAAGGUUUGAAAAGUCUUUUACCCGGGAUGAUAAUGACAGUACCGGGAGAAUAAGCUCCGGCUAACUCCGUG